This 640-nucleotide long non-coding RNA is filed under the name Cricetulus griseus (Chinese hamster). RNAcentral describes it as "lncRNA (ENSCGRG00015036622.1)". The record is from RNAcentral. Lineage: Eukaryota; Metazoa; Chordata; Mammalia; Rodentia; Cricetidae.
AAUCAUUUUACCUUCUCACACAAAAUUUAUAAUGUCUGUAUGUAUAAAAUGUAUUGCCAGGACUUUGACAUUCAAACAACUUUGUCUGUUUCGGAAGAAUUGGCAUCUUUGAGAGAGCGAUCACCUUCGGGAUGGUGGAAGGCUGAAACUGGCACCAUCUUCUGGUGAGGCGCAUCACAGCUCUCCACAAUCUAAAGCGGAUGGUGUCCAGCCCUGUCCUGAGUCAUACAGAGUGACACAUUGAAUUGAUUCUAUCCCCGCCUCUGUGGAAGGAAUCACUGUCUCACCAAGGCCUACGACUGAACCUGAUGCUUCUGAGGUCUGCGGGCUUGUCUUGAAGUGACACAUGUUGCCAAGACUGGUCUCAACUUGCUACACAGCCAAAGGUGACGAAGAUCUUCUGAAGCUCAUAUUUCUACUUCCUGCAUGCUGGGAUCACAGACAUGUGCCACCACUCCUGUUUCAUGUGGUGUUCGGGACUGAUCCAGGUACUUUUUCCUGCUACACAAAUGCUCUACCAACUGACCUAUGCACUCAGUCUCUCAAUGCAAUGUUUUAUUUACAAAACCCAAAAGGCAUAGUUGUUAGGAGACUCAGCUCUGCAGCCAUAGGUAGCCAUAGGUACAAAAGAGUUGCCAGG